This 523-nucleotide ribosomal RNA is filed under the name uncultured bacterium. Its description in RNAcentral is "bacterial SSU rRNA". It matches the Rfam family "Bacterial small subunit ribosomal RNA", at positions 8 to 526 of the family's 1533-position model. The record is from RNAcentral.
AGAGUUUGAUCAUGGCUCAGAUUGAACGCUGGCGGCAGGCCUAACACAUGCAAGUCGAGCGGUAGAGAGAAGCUUGCUUCUCUUGAGAGCGGCGGACGGGUGAGUAAUGCCUAGGAAUCUGCCUGGUAGUGGGGGAUAACGUCCGGAAACGGACGCUAAUACCGCAUACGUCCUACGGGAGAAAGCAGGGGACCUUCGGGCCUUGCGCUAUCAGAUGAGCCUAGGUCGGAUUAGCUAGUUGGUGGGGUAAUGGCUCACCAAGGCGACGAUCCGUAACUGGUCUGAGAGGAUGAUCAGUCACACUGGAACUGAGACACGGUCCAGACUCCUACGGGAGGCAGCAGUGGGGAAUAUUGGACAAUGGGCGAAAGCCUGAUCCAGCCAUGCCGCGUGUGUGAAGAAGGUCUUCGGAUUGUAAAGCACUUUAAGUUGGGAGGAAGGGCAGUAAAUUAAUACUUUGCUGUUUUGACGUUACCGACAGAAUAAGCACCGGCUAACUCUGUGCCAGCAGCCGCGGUAAUAC